RNAcentral lists this ribosomal RNA (315 nucleotides) under uncultured eukaryote. RNAcentral's name for it is "partial 18S ribosomal RNA". It matches the Rfam family "Eukaryotic small subunit ribosomal RNA", at positions 1470 to 1796 of the family's 1831-position model. The record is from RNAcentral.
CCCUUAGACGUUCUGGGCCGCACGCGCGCUACACUGACCAGUGCAACAAGCAUCCGUCCUUGGCCGACAGGCCCGGGCAAUCUUUGAACGCUGGUCGUGAUGGGGAUAGACUUUUGCAAUUUUUGGUCUUCAACGAGGAAUUCCUAGUAAACGCAAGUCAUCAACUUGCAUUGAUUACGUCCCUACCCUUUGUACACACCGCCCGUCGCACCUACCGAUUGAAUGGUCCGGUGAAGCCUCCGGAUUGGCGCGCACCUCGGUGCCGCCGAGAAGUUGGCUAAACCUUACCAUUUAGAGGAAGGUGAAGUCGUAACA